Molecule: ribosomal RNA, 301 nt
Filed under: uncultured bacterium
Lineage: Bacteria
Description: partial 16S ribosomal RNA
Rfam family: Bacterial small subunit ribosomal RNA
Source: RNAcentral
CAGUAGCCUCGGUAAUACGGAGGGAGCUAGCGUUGUUCGGAAUUACUGGGCGUAAAGCGCGCGUAGGCGGUUACUUAAGUCAGAGGUGAAAGCCCGGGGCUCAACCCCGGAACUGCCUUUGAAACUAGGUGACUAGAAUCUUGGAGAGGUCAGUGGAAUUCCGAGUGUAGAGGUGAAAUUCGUAGAUAUUCGGAAGAACACCAGUGGCGAAGGCGACUGACUGGACAAGUAUUGACGCUGAGGUGCGAAAGCGUGGGGAGCAAACAGGAUUAGAUACCCCGGUAGUCCCUGUCUCUUAUAC